Molecule: ribosomal RNA, 253 nt
Filed under: uncultured bacterium
Lineage: Bacteria
Description: partial 16S ribosomal RNA
Rfam family: Bacterial small subunit ribosomal RNA
Source: RNAcentral
UACGAAGGGGGCUAGCGUUGCUCGGAAUCACUGGGCGUAAAGCGCACGUAGGCGGACUCUUAAGUCGGUGGUGAAAUCCUGGAGCUCAACUCCAGAACUGCCUUUGAUACAGCAAGCCUUGAGUCCGGAAGAGGUAGGUGGAAUUCCUAGUGUAGAGGUGAAAUUCGUAGAUAUUAGGAAGAACACCAGUGGCGAAGGCGGCCUACUGGUCCGGCACUGACGCUGAGGUGCGAAAGCGUGGGGAGCAAACAGG